This 1171-nucleotide ribosomal RNA is filed under the name uncultured Bacteroides sp. RNAcentral describes it as "bacterial SSU rRNA". It matches the Rfam family "Bacterial small subunit ribosomal RNA", at positions 10 to 1177 of the family's 1533-position model. Lineage: Bacteria; Pseudomonadati; Bacteroidota; Bacteroidia; Bacteroidales; Bacteroidaceae. The record is from RNAcentral.
AGUUUGAUCCUGGCUCAGGAUGAACGCUAGCUACAGGCUUAACACAUGCAAGUCGAGGGGCAGCAUGAACUUAGCUUGCUAAGUUUGAUGGCGACCGGCGCACGGGUGAGUAACACGUAUCCAACCUGCCGAUGACUCGGGGAUAGCCUUUCGAAAGAAAGAUUAAUACCCGAUGGCAUAGUUCUUCCGCAUGGUAAAACUAUUAAAGAAUUUCGGUCAUCGAUGGGGAUGCGUUCCAUUAGGUUGUUGGCGGGGUAACGGCCCACCAAGCCUUCGAUGGAUAGGGGUUCUGAGAGGAAGGUCCCCCACAUUGGAACUGAGACACGGUCCAAGCUCCUACGGGAGGCAGCAGUGAGGAAUAUUGGUCAAUGGACGAGAGUCUGAACCAGCCAAGUAGCGUGAAGGAUGACUGCCCUAUGGGUUGUAAACUUCUUUUAUACGGGAAUAAAGUGAGGCACGUGUGCCUUUUUGUAUGUACCGUAUGAAUAAGGAUCGGCUAACUCCGUGCCAGCAGCCGCGGUAAUACGGAGGAUCCGAGCGUUAUCCGGAUUUAUUGGGUUUAAAGGGAGCGUAGGCGGACGCUUAAGUCAGUUGUGAAAGUUUGCGGCUCAACCGUAAAAUUGCAGUUGAUACUGGGUGUCUUGAGUACAGUAGAGGCAGGCGGAAUUCGUGGUGUAGCGGUGAAAUGCUUAGAUAUCACGAAGAACUCCGAUUGCGAAGGCAGCCUGCUGGACUGUAACUGACGCUGAUGCUCGAAAGUGUGGGUAUCAAACAGGAUUAGAUACCCUGGUAGUCCACACAGUAAACGAUGAAUACUCGCUGUUUGCGAUAUACAGUAAGCGGCCAAGCGAAAGCGUUAAGUAUUCCACCUGGGGAGUACGCCGGCAACGGUGAAACUCAAAGGAAUUGACGGGGGCCCGCACAAGCGGAGGAACAUGUGGUUUAAUUCGAUGAUACGCGAGGAACCUUACCCGGGCUUGAAUUGCAACUGAAUGAUGUGGAGACAUGUCAGCCGCAAGGCAGUUGUGAAGGUGCUGCAUGGUUGUCGUCAGCUCGUGCCGUGAGGUGUCGGCUUAAGUGCCAUAACGAGCGCAACCCUUAUCGAUAGUUACCAUCAGGUUAUGCUGGGGACUCUGUCGAGACUGCCGUCGUAAGAUGUGAGGAAGGUGGA